AGAGUUUGAUCCUGGCUCAGAACGAACGCUGGCGGCGUGGAUUAGGCAUGCAAGUCGAACGAGAAAGGUUUCUUCGGAAACCGAGUACAGUGGCAAACGGGUGAGUAACGCGUGAGAAACCUACCUUCUAGUUGGGGACAACACCUCUAACGAGGUGCUAAUACCGAAUACGAUCUUUUCACCGCAUGGUGAGUUGAUGAAAGGCGGCCUCUGCUUGCAAGCUGUCACUAGAAGAGGGUCUCGCGUCCCAUUAGCUUGUUGGUAGGGUAAUGGCCUACCAAGGCGAUGAUGGGUAGCCGGCCUUAGCGGGUGAUCGGCCACACUGGGACUGAGAUACGGCCCAGACUCCUACGGGAGGCAGCAGUCGAGAGGCAUCCACAAUGGGGGAAACCCUGAUGGUGCGACGCCGCGUGGGUGAUGAAGGUCUUCGGAUCGUAAAGCCCUUUCAGUAAGGACGAAAGUGCAGGGUGUUAAUAAUGCCCUAUGCCUGACGGUACUUACAGAAGAAGCUCCGGCUAACUCCGUGCCAGCAGCCGCGGUAAGACGGGGGGAGCAAGCGUUGUUCGGAUUUACUGGGCGUAAAGGGCGUCUAGGCGGGUUAGCAAGUCAGAUGUGAAAUCCCAUGGCUCAACCGUGGAAUUGCAUUUGAAACUGCUGGCCUUGAGUACGGAAGAGGAAAGCGGAAUUCCUGGUGUAGCGGUGAAAUGCGUAGAUAUCAGGAAGAACACCGGUGGCGAAGGCGGCUUUCUGGUCCGAUACUGACGCUAAAGCGCGAAAGUGUGGGGAGCGAACAGGAUUAGAUACCCUGGUAGUCCACACUGUAAACGAUGGGUACUAGGUGUCGGGGAUUCGACCUCUCCGGUGCCGGAGCUAACGCAUUAAGUACCCCGCCUGGGGAGUACGGUCGCAAGGUCGAAACUCAAAGGAAUUGACGGGGACCCGCACAAGCGGUGGAGCAUGUUGCUUAAUUCGACGCAACGCGAAGAACCUUACCGGGGUUUGACGUGCACUGGACCGCCAUAGAGAUAUGGCUUCCCUUCGGGGCUAGUGCAUCAGGUGCUGCACGGCCGUCGUCAGCUCGUGUCGUGAGAUGUUGGGUUAAGUCCUCUAACGAGCGCAACCCCUAUCCACAGUUGCCAUCAGGUAAUGCUGGGCACUCUGCGGAGACUGCCGGUGACAAACCGGAGGAAGGUGGGGAUGACGUCAAGUCAUCGUGGCG
Molecule: ribosomal RNA, 1219 nt
Filed under: metagenome
Description: bacterial SSU rRNA
Rfam family: Bacterial small subunit ribosomal RNA
Source: RNAcentral